Molecule: long non-coding RNA, 892 nt
Filed under: Rhinopithecus bieti (black snub-nosed monkey)
Lineage: Eukaryota; Metazoa; Chordata; Mammalia; Primates; Cercopithecidae
Description: lncRNA (ENSRBIG00000045550.1)
Source: RNAcentral
GAGGGAGGGAAUCGGCUCUUAGCCGAUUCAUAUUCAACAGGACCGGGGAAUGGGUUCUUGUUCCAUGCCCUGAAUCCCAAGAAGCCCUUGUCCUGGACCCUGUAAUGCCCGGGGUCUUCCUGAGAAAUGCUGGUGCCACUGGAGCACAGCCCGGCCCCCUCCAGUUUCUCCACUUUGUAACUGCACUUGUGUUCAGCAGGUCUUCCAGGACUUAGACGCUGCUUGAUGUGAGCCAGGUUUUGUGUGGAAAGAGGACAGGUCCGAGCCAGCAACCAAGAAGCCCAGGACCAUCUUUCAUGCUUCCAGAUUCUGUGUCCAAAAACUUACCUGUGGACAUUGAGGCUGAUGCAUUUCUGCUCCAAGACGUCUGUGGACUCAGCUGGAGGGAUGGAAAGGAUGUGGGGCCUCUUCACUCCUGGCCUGGGCUUGGACCUGCUGUGCAGCCUGUCAGUGGCACCAGGGCCCCCUUGUGUCACAGCGGUCUCGGGUUGGUGGCACUGCCUCAGGAUGUCCCAGGCUUCAUGAUGUCCAGGCUCCCCUGGCAUGGCGACCUCAGGACUUUCUCUGGCAGAGAUGCGAGUGACUUCUGCUCACUGAGAGGCUCAUCUCAGGGACUUCAUGGCCUGAGGGACGGCAGCCUGUUUGAGCUGAUCGAGCAAUCUCGGGCUACCCUGAUUUUCUGAAACGCCUGUGAGUGACUUCUCACACGGUCUUUGAAACGGCUUCAUGACCGCGCUCCUUGGUAAUGAUCGAAUGCUUUUUUUGACCCCUCGUCCCCUUUCUUUGGGGGUGUUCCAGUCUCAGUUCUCAUGUGUUCUGCUUCUACGGGAAUUUCUGAAGCUGCUGAGUGUAGAAAGCACCGAGGAGGCUGUGCUCCCACCCCUGUGAGCUU